AGCCAGGGAGACAGAUGGAGCAACCCGUCCCGAGAAGGCACAUGGUGCUGCUGCUCCCAGGCCCACGUCUGCAGGAGGGAAUCAGAGACUUGGGACGGAGGGCUGGAAGCUGACAGAGGGGAUGAGAUCCAGGACGUUGAUUCCGAGGAACUGGCGUGUGCAACUCUGGAGGUCGGCUAGGCGAGUACAAAAUCUGUAGGUC
Molecule: long non-coding RNA, 202 nt
Filed under: Ursus maritimus (polar bear)
Lineage: Eukaryota; Metazoa; Chordata; Mammalia; Carnivora; Ursidae
Description: lncRNA (ENSUMAG00000022992.1)
Source: RNAcentral